GCGCCAAUAGCUCAACUGGAUAGAGUGCCUGGCUUCGAACCAGGAGGUUAUGGGUUCAAGUCCUAUUUGGCGCACCA
This 77-nucleotide transfer RNA is filed under the name Acholeplasmataceae bacterium. RNAcentral's name for it is "tRNA-Arg". It matches the Rfam family "tRNA". From Rfam's summary of the family: Transfer RNA (tRNA) molecules are approximately 80 nucleotides in length. Their secondary structure includes four short double-helical elements and three loops (D, anti-codon, and T loops). Lineage: Bacteria; Bacillati; Mycoplasmatota; Mollicutes; Acholeplasmatales; Acholeplasmataceae. The record is from RNAcentral.